AGCCCCUUUCCUGAGUGUUAAUUUGAGUGGUGUUUUGAUCCUGUGAAUGAGCAGGAAUAACCUAACCCCCAGCUGCUCCUCCCCUGACGCAGCUCCAUGCCGUUCCCUCGGGCCCUGUCCAUGUCACACAGAGCAGAGCUCAGCGCUGCCCCUCCGCUCCCUGUGAGGAGUUGAAGCCGCCAUGGGGCCUCCCCUCAGCCUGCUCUGCUCUGGGCUGAAUGGUGACUCCUUUGGGAAAGAGACUCCUCCAGAUGGCUCCUUCAGGGACGACACACGAGUUGCCUCUUUUCUGGAGCUUGAGUCAGGGUGCUGGGAUGGAGAGGCCCCUGGAAGAAGCAGCAGAAGGAGACCAUUGCGUGUCUGAAAGCAGAGGUAGCAUUUUAGAGCAGAAACUUCAAUGUUACCUGGCUGGAGUACACCAGGUGAAGCUCUGCCUGUCUUGUAGAUACCACUCUGUUAAACCUUCCGUUAAGUAAAAUCGUUUGCUGCUCUUAUAAGAAACCCUUGCUCCAGGAAGGAAAUAGCUUAUCUCAGAGUUUGACAUUUGUGGCAAUGUUUUGCAGCUGGUAUCUGUGGGCAGUGCUAGGGCACUAUUUGGCCAACGCCACACAAAGAGAACAGAAAUGUUUAGUCAGAACAGGUUAUUCCUGUGUCCAUGUGGGGGAAGAGACAUUAGACUUGGAAACACAGUAUGUUUUUUAGUUGCAUUAAUGAAAAAUGAGGUUCUGAUUUUGGCUAAAAAUAACAGUAGGAAUGAGUUCUUGAGUUUUCACUAUGUUAUUAAUACAUAAAUAUAUUAAUAUUUAAGUCUUCUGUAUAUAUAAAGCACCUGUAACUGGAGAUGGCAUGGACACGCAGUCAGAUCUCAGCCUUAGCUCCUCACACAAGUGAAAUGCUGUGGCAAUACCUUUAUAAUAUGUUUGAAAAGUUGCUUUUUCUUUUAAAUUAACAAUAGUUGCUAACCUAUUUCUGUGCAAAAAUGUACAGAAUCAUUAUACUUUCUUGGGAAGAAAAUGGGGAACAAAGCUUGUUUUUUUUGUUCUUUUGUUUUUUUUUCCUAGAAAAACCAAUCCUCAUCACUGCAGGUAGAAAGCAAUUUCUUUCUUUCUUGACCUUUCUCAUAAAAGGAGCAAUAAUAAUGUUUGAGUUGUGCCUGUGAAUGGCAGUGUGAUGCGUCCCCAAAAGGUAAUAGGUGCACAGUUGAAUAUGUUUCUGCAGCUCUGCGUUAUGUAACAAGGAUAGAGGUGGCUGCUUAUUUAGAAAUUCUCUAAAUUGAGUCAUUACUCCUGUUGCAUUCCAUUUGUGUGUUAUUCUCUUACAUCUGAAGACUGGAGGUGAGUCUCUGAGAAGACACAGUAAACAUCAGUAAUGAUUGGGUACAACUAUGUCCAUCUGUGAUUCUACAUUUUGAAUAAUGGUAGAAAACUCUUCAAUAAGCUGAGGUGAAUUUCUGCUAAAGGUAAGUUGUCGCUGUAGAGAAGAAACCAGGAUGGACAGUUCAGGAAACUGUCUAUGAUUUUCAAGCACUUUAUUCUCAGGCAGAUAAAUGCUACUUACAGUAAGCUAAUCCUGACUCUCUGACCCAUGUUACUGAUGUUAGUGCACUCCUCAGGCUGCCAGUCUUAGUGAGUAGAGGGCAGGAUUUGUCCUCCCUGUUUGGGUAGAUGGAUGCCCAUGGGUAGGAGACCUUCUUAAGCAUUCCAGGUAGAUGUUGAAAAUUGCCCUCAGUACUGGCUGUUUAGCACAACUUCUGUGCUUUUCACAUGUGUUUUCAGAAUUAAGGGUUAUUUUUAUUUAUUAUUCUAAACUGUGAGGGUUGCUCCAAAAGUAAUACCUUCUAUUUUAUAUGUUGGCCCAUGACAUCAUAGGCAGAUGCUGGUGGUAAUGCAAUAUGGGUUGAACCUUUCCACCAAUAUUCUGUUAUGUUUUGUUGCUGUGUGACAGAUGGCAGCAGAUUGCAGUCUGACAAGUGGCGUCUGACGUGAAAGUGAGGAUGAAGCAAAGGUGUAUCACUGAAUCCCUCCAUGUGGAAAGAAAGGCAUCCACUGACAUUCACCAAUGUUUGCUGAAGUUUUUUGGAGACCUAACGGUAUCAAAUUUAUCUGACUACAAGGCACUGUGGACACUUAAUGUUCUCCAUGAAGUACUUCAGACCACACAGAAUCAGGCUCUCUGGACAUUCUUAUUUCAUGGCAAAUACUAUUAUGGAGUCCAUUCCAGUAUGGUAAAGCUCUGUUGGAGGCUUUGCUUUGCACACCAUCCCCUGUGAGACAGUUACAGUAGGAGACAAAUGAAGCAAAUAGGAUUGCAGCUGACAGUGCUGUAUGAAUAAAUUGCCUCUUCCUGUGAGUGUGGUUAAACACUGGAGCAAGUUACCCAGAGACUGGAAAGUCUCCAUCCCUGAAGAUACACAAAACCCAACUCUGCAUGGCCCUAAGCACCUUGCUAUCACUGACUUUGUUCUGAGGAUGGUAGUUGGACUCAAUAACCUCCAAAAGUACCUUUCCACCUCAGCAAUUCUGCGAUCUUGUAAUAUUUUAAUGAACAGCAAAUAUGACAUAUAAACUAUACCUUUGAUGAACCUUGUUUGAACAUGCAGUAUGGGGACUCAGUCCUCAAUGGAAAUUCUUUUCCAUUGUGUAUUCAUCUUUUCCAAUGUGUAUUCAUUUCAGAUCUAUCUUUAUACAUGUUCCUGCACACAAAGUCAGCAGUGCUAUGUGAGCACCAUAAGAGAAUGAUCAUCUCCAAUAAUCAGACUUAAAUCUAUGUGAAUCAGAUGGAAAUUUUGCUGAUGUGGCUCAGCUCAGUUCUAAAAGUUGAUGCUGUCCUGCUGAGGACACAGUAGACAAACUUUCUUCUUUAGAAAGAAAGCCCAUCUGUAGCACUGCAGCUGUCCUCUCUUCAUCACACAAUUAAUCACAAUUAAUUCACAGUAAUUGGAGAGAGUUGAAACUGCUGUACUGUCAGAUUUUUGUUGGUAGCUCCAAAGUAGCAAUUCUACAAAUAAUGUGACAGUUAAGUCUACAACCUCAUUGAGUGCUCUUACACUUUGCUUUUGAUUCUGAGGCACAGCAGUUUGUUUAGAACUGGCACAUUUAAGACUGAUUCUGUGCUUUCAUUGCCAUUUAACCUCAGGGAGAAGCCAUUUUUCUUUUCCCAGAGUAUUGCUGAUGCCUAUUAUUAGAUUUUAUCCAUGGUAGACAUUGUGCUCCCACUUGUUAUUGUUCUUUUUGAGUUACACUGUGUUCAUUAUUCCCAGGUGACUGAUCGAAUGUGUUUGGUGUAAAACACACUGCAACCCAUCUAAGAUUUUGCUGCAGGCUCUGAAGGGUAGACCUUAGCUUUCAUUUUAUUAGGUUGUGUGGAUUUGUGUGAGAAUAUAAAAAAAAAAACUUCACACAUUACAAAUUCUUCUUAGAGGGUAUUCAGGUAAUCCUUUUUGGUUCUUACCUUGGGAUCUGACUUUGUGGAAUUCCUAGUGCUAGAAACAGGUCCACUGCUCUUGGGUGCAAAUUUCCUCAACCAGACUCAUACCUGUCUAAGAAUUGUUAAAAGGAUUGUAACUGCUAGGGGGAAUGCUUUUAAGUGUUUUUUUUAUGGGGGAGGUGUUGUUCCUGAGAUAAAUCAGAGACUGCUAUAGACUCUUUGUGCCAGCCAGGCUCUUUUUUUUUUUUUUUUUUUUUUUGGUUGGACAGCUGGAGCGUAAUUCUCAUGAAGCAGCAUUUGGGUAUGCUCAUAUUAUUAUGCCAUGGAUAUAAUGCUUUCAGCUGUGGUGGAGACUGGACUUAAAAUGAGUGAGAAUAACUGAGUGCAAAAGAUAAAACAAUAAUUUGGCAUCUAAUCGUAGUGGCAAGCCAAAUGGUAUCUCCAUUGGUUGCAUAAACGUUUGUUUAGAUAUUCCCUGAGAGUUCUUCCCUGAUAAAAUGUAUUUUCUGCUAAGUUAAUUAUAAGUUAGGAAGAUCACAAUUUAAUCAAAGGAGAGCUCUAGCCAUGUUUGACAAGUCAAUAACCAUUCCACUAUGGGUAUGGUAUGUUUGAUAAGUCAACAGUAAUUUUAAUCAGGGUAACAACUGGAAUGGAAGAGAGGAAAAUGCAAACUAAUUAUACCCUUUUAGUCUAAAAAUAAAACUGGGGGAAUUGCACCAUUUUGAUAAAACAAUCUAUUUAUCUGUACAGGGUUAUUCUUGUCAUAAUUAGCCAUUCUUCUAAUGAAGUCAUUGAAUAUGUUGUGACUGAACUGAGGGAAACAAUAUAUUAAUAAAAGAUGAACUGUCUUCUGUGUAGCACCACUUAGCAUUUGAUCCAUACCCUAGGGUUAAUUGGGAUGUGAAAAACUGCCAGAAAUCUGUACAGAAUUGCAAUGUUUCAUACCAGUUUUUUUGUUGUAUUUUGUUGUUGGCAGUGGUUUUGUUUGUUUUUAAAGAACUCAAUAAGAUAAUAUUCUAAUAUAUGAAUUUUUACAUGUGCAUAUGUAUGUAAGUAUAUAAUAUAUAUAUACAUACAUAGGCAUGUAUAUGUAUGUCAUAUCUCAGACUCUUUCAAGGCAUUCAAAGCUACCAGGUGUAACUGUAAUAGCUGUGAUAUGAAAACAGCCAAUUAGAUGCUCAUUCUUUAAGUACAAAUAUUUGUAAUGAUAUAAUAAUAUAGUAAUAUUUUAAGUCAAUUUCCUCUGCCAAAAACUAUUGUCUUGUGGUUUUAAUAUUUCAGACAACAUUGUCAUUUUUAACAGGCCUGGUUCUUAGUCAGAAGUGAAGACUUUUUCUGUGGUAUAUGCUG
RNAcentral lists this long non-coding RNA (4776 nucleotides) under Gallus gallus (chicken). Its description in RNAcentral is "lncRNA (ENSGALG00010009382.1)". Lineage: Eukaryota; Metazoa; Chordata; Aves; Galliformes; Phasianidae. The record is from RNAcentral.